Salvia miltiorrhiza (redroot sage) is the source of this 543-nucleotide long non-coding RNA. RefSeq lists it as uncharacterized. NCBI's taxonomy places the organism in Eukaryota, Viridiplantae, Streptophyta, Magnoliopsida, Lamiales, Lamiaceae. The record is from RefSeq and is a predicted model, not a curated record. The transcript is spliced from 2 exons.
GAGGAGGAGGAGGAAGAGGAAGAGGAAGAAGAAGAAGAGGAGGAGGAACAGAUGGCAGAAGAGGAACUUGAAGAUGGCAUUCAGUCUGUUGACAGCCUUUCAAGCACUCCUACUGGCGUUGAAACCCCUGAUGUUAUUGAUCUUCGAAAGCAGCAGAGGAAGGAACCUGAUAGGCCUCUCUACCAAGUAAUUAUUUUUCUUUUUUCCUUACAUUGUUACACCUUAUUUUGAAGGUUUCUAGAUGAAAAAUCUUUCCAUUUCAGGUAGCUUCUUUGCUUGAUUAUGUAUUUCUUUCUACAUUUUAUGCCUGCUGGAUUAUAGAUUCAUUUCAGGUUCAAGAGAUUCUGCCUGAAGUAUAAAGGUUACAAGUCUAUUGGUGCUAGAAACAUUGUAUGAUAGAUUUUUGUUUUAGCUAUAAGGUUGUUGGUAUUUUCAAUUUUGAAUCGGAAUAUGCAAUGAUGAUGUAUACUUGAUAUUUGGUUCAUUUGUAUAAUAAUGUAUGAAUUUCUUGGAUGAUAUAUAAUAUUGUUAUCGUUGAUUUUA